AGUUCUGUCAUCGGUGUUAAUCGUGUAGGUAAGUAUUCGUAAAAUAAAAGGCUAUAUUUUUCAUUCUCUGCUAUCAGUCGAAGACCUACUCGACUAUUUUGUUUAAAAAAAUUGGAAACUGACUGUUUUAUUAAGCCUAUUAAGACCCUUUCUUACUUUUUAACCGAACCUAACCUUAAAAUAUUGUAAUUUUUUUAUGGUUAAUAUUUCUGAAAUGCGGAAACCGUUUUCAGUAAUUUUUUCUACAAAUAUUCUGAUGAUGUCAUUGAACAGAUAGAACUUGAUUUGAUGGUGAUACAAAAAUCUUGAAGACAGUACAUUUGUUCAUACUUGAAUGGGCAUUGUCUUUUGUGUAAGUUAG
This is a long non-coding RNA of Maniola jurtina (meadow brown), 361 nucleotides long. RefSeq lists it as uncharacterized. The record is from RefSeq and is a predicted model, not a curated record. The transcript is spliced from 3 exons. NCBI's taxonomy places the organism in Eukaryota, Metazoa, Arthropoda, Insecta, Lepidoptera, Nymphalidae.